GGAACCAAAUACAAUAUGACCUGACCAUGAUAUUCACACCCCAUCUUCACAUGCACAACCCCAGGUGAGGUUUAGGUCUAAGAGAAUGGUUGGAACCAAAUACAAUAUGACCUGACCAUGAUAUUCACACCCCAUCUUCACAUGCACAACCCCAGGUGAGGUUUAGGUCUAAGAAUGGUUUUAACCAAAUACAAUAUGCUUUUAGAUGUAUUUACACCCAGUUUAUUCUGUAAGUCCUUUUGCUAAGAGUCUCUGUGAGCUCCCAUGGCUGUAGAUACUGAUGUGUAGAGUCUGCAGUCAUCAGCAUACAUAGUAACUUUAGCUUCUUGUAAGACAAAUGGCAAAUAAUUUGUAAAAAUAGAGAAGAGUAAGGUGUGUUGGUUUGAUGACAUGUUGAGGGUUUCACACUCUGUGGGGUUAUAUUUACUUUACCACCUACUGUUAGUGCUUUCAUCUUAAGAUGGCUGAGAGACCGUCACUUUAAAAACGGGCUCGUAUUGUCAAUUAAAAUGUUAUAAUGUAGAAUGUUUUGCCAAUGUUAUAGGUAGAGUUUUCAUGUUGGAAUUCAAUGUUAUAUGUAGAGUUUUCAUGUAAUUCAAUGUAAUUAAAAUUGAACGCAUAUGUGUUUGUAGUUAAUACAUGCCAAUGUAUUUAGGUUUUUAAUGAGAAUAAAUACGAAGCUCCAAUGAACCUUGGCAUUAUUUUUUCCAACUUAUUCCUCUGAGAACAACUAAAAAUGCAUUUUAUUUUUUUAACCUAAAGUAAGAUUAGCUACACGAAACAUCAUCGACGUAGACACACAAUAGUUUUGUAUCUCCUAUUGGGGAAAGACUAAUGAACGGGCUGCACAGUCACUAUGGGAGCUGUCUAGAGCGCCCGUUAAAUUGUGCAUACAAGCAAUUCUUUUUUUAAACUCUGCAAACGGUUAAACUCUUAAACUCGUGAGAUAAAACUUCUAUGUAUAGUGGGUAACAUAAUACUAUCAUCCUACAUUGAAAUGUUGAUUUAUUUGUACAUAUUAGAUUAUUUUAUAUUUCGCCGUCUUCCUUGAUGUUUUGAUCCAAAUGGACAGCAUACGUUACGACUACAUUACGCAAGCUCACGUUUUGACCGCAUCGAAUGGAAGGCAUACGUUACGACUACAUUACGCAAGCUCACGUUUUGACCGCAUCGAAUGGAAGGCAUACGUUACGACUACAUUACGCAAGCCCACGUUUUGACCGCAUCAAAUGGAAGGUAUACGUCACAUCGAAUUUAGCUUAAUUAGACUUUUUUUUUUUUUUACCUCAGAUUGGUGCUGUUAAUGUAAAAGUUUAUAGUUAUCGCGAUGACACAAUCGAUGGCUUCAUAAAACAGAUCAAUAUCUUUGGUUCUGGUCCGCUUGGCGGUUGCAGGACUUAGAAUGCUGCUGUCAAUUUCAAACUCAAAUGGCAUGAAUAAUGC
Molecule: long non-coding RNA, 1443 nt
Organism: Oncorhynchus tshawytscha (Chinook salmon)
Lineage: Eukaryota; Metazoa; Chordata; Actinopteri; Salmoniformes; Salmonidae
Source: Ensembl